RNAcentral lists this ribosomal RNA (300 nucleotides) under Caulobacterales bacterium. Its description in RNAcentral is "partial 16S ribosomal RNA". It matches the Rfam family "Bacterial small subunit ribosomal RNA", at positions 1 to 330 of the family's 1533-position model. Lineage: Bacteria; Pseudomonadati; Pseudomonadota; Alphaproteobacteria; Caulobacterales. The record is from RNAcentral.
UCAACCUGAGAGUUUGAUUCUGGCUCAGAACGAACGCUGGCGGCAGGCUUAACACAUGCAAGUCGAACGCACCUUCGGGUGAGUGGCAGACGGGUGAGUAACGCGUGGGAACAUGCCCAUCAGUACGGAAUAGCUCCGGGAAACUGGAAUUAAUACCGUAUACGUCCUUCGGGAGAAAGAUUUAUCGCUGAUGGAUUGGCCCGCGUUAGAUUAGCUAGUUGGUAGGGUAAAGGCCUACCAAGGCGACGAUCUAUAGCUGGUCUGAGAGGAUGAUCAGCCACACUGGGACUGAGACACGGC